GAUGAACGCUGGCGGCGUGCCUAAUACAUGCAAGUCGAGCGAACAGACGAGGAGCUUGCUCCUCUGACGUUAGCGGCGGACGGGUGAGUAACACGUGGAUAACCUACCUAUAAGACUGGGAUAACUUCGGGAAACCGGAGCUAAUACCGGAUAAUAUAUUGAACCGCAUGGUUCAAUAGUGAAAGACGGUUUUGCUGUCACUUAUAGAUGGAUCCGCGCCGCAUUAGCUAGUUGGUAAGGUAACGGCUUACCAAGGCAACGAUGCGUAGCCGACCUGAGAGGUGGGGCGGCCACACUGGAAGGGGACCAGGGCCCAGACGCCUAGGGGAGGCAGAAGUGGGGAAUCUUCCGCAAUGGGGGAAAUUUGGACGGAGCAGCGCGGCGUGAGUGAUAAAGGUCUUGGGAUCUAAAAACUCUUUUAUGGGGGAAAAACAAAUGUUUAAUUAACUAUGCACGUCUUGAGGGUACCUAAUAAGAAAGCCACGGCUAACUACGUG
RNAcentral lists this ribosomal RNA (497 nucleotides) under uncultured bacterium. Its description in RNAcentral is "partial 16S ribosomal RNA". It matches the Rfam family "Bacterial small subunit ribosomal RNA", at positions 28 to 507 of the family's 1533-position model. The record is from RNAcentral.